GCCGUGUGGGGCCCGCGGACGGGGGAGCAGCGAUGGCACCGAACGUGCAGAGCCGGGAAGGCGAAGGCCGGAGCCUCCGCAGGGGCCUCCGGGCCGUGCUGCUGGGGCCGCCCGGGGCGGGCAAGGGCACCCAGGCUCCUAAACUUGCUGAAACCUACUGCGUUUGCCACCUGGCAACAGGUGACAUGCUGAGGGCCAUGGUGGCUUCAGGAUCGGAGCUGGGUAAAAGGUUGAAGGAGACUAUGGAUGCUGGGAAGCUGGUGAGUGAUGAGAUGGUGGUGGAACUGAUUGAGAAAAACCUGCAGACUCCUCCUUGCAAAAAUGGCUUCCUGCUGGAUGGUUUCCCUCGCACAGUGAAGCAGGCAGAGAUGCUGGAUGAGCUCAUGGAGAAGAGAAGCGAGAAGCUAGAUUCUGUGAUUGAAUUCAGCAUUGCUGACUCCUUACUCAUCCGGAGGAUCACUGGACGGCUGAUCCACCCAGCAAGUGGCCGCUCUUACCAUGAGGAGUUCAAUCCCCCUAAAGAGCAUAUGAAGGACGAUGUCACCGGGGAGCCCUUGAUCCGCCGUUCUGACGAUAACGAAGUGGCUUUGAAAACUCGGCUGAAGUCCUACCACACCCAGACCAUCCCGCUGGUAGACUACUACACCAAACGAGGGAUCCAUACAGCCAUAGAUGCCUCCCAGUCCCCUGACGUGGUGUUUGCCAGCAUCUUGGCAGCCUUCUCGAAAGCCACAUAGCCCUAGUUAAUGGGAAAACCACUGCACUUUCCGCUGUUCGAUCUGUUUGGCUGGGACCCAGCAUGGCAGUAGCAGGAGUACUGAAGGUCAUGGCUGAUCUGGGAGUGGGGAGGGAGAAGCUCGCAAUCCACGGCUCAGUGACUCCAUAGGCCAGACAAGACACCACCAAAGGCUGCAUGCUCCAUCACCUCACUCCAUCCCUUCCCCUUGGGAGAAAGGGAGGGUUGGGAGGGAUGGGGGCUCAUGGCUGAUCAGAGGAAAGGUGGGGAAGAAGGAGAAGGCAGAGUGAUUUGUUUCUCAUCAGAAUCAUGUUCAAGAGGAGAUUGAUCUUUAAUUUAAAAAAAAAAAGACAUUGAAUGGUAUGAAAACGGAUUUCUGUGCCAAAGAUCAGACCGCUGAGCCUUUGCCCUGUGAUGAGCCUUGGACUUGGUGCUAUUUCAAGCUUCCAAAUGGGACUCCGGGUACUGCCGUUGCUUGGUAGCUCUGCAUGGUUUCUUUUUUCCCCUAACGUCAUUGUAGAAUGUGUUUCUGCUCCCUAAACUUAAUUCUCCUAUUGUAGGACCAAAAUGAAUACGUGAAAUGACUCCUUAGCUGUGUAAUGGAGAAAAGAGCUGACUAAAUUGUACUUCCCUCAUUUCCUGGAUAUUUUGGCCUUCCUAAAACAAGGCAAAGGUGGUCUGAGGAGCUUUCUGCUCCUCUGUGAUGCCAUCCGGGACCUGAGCUCGAGCCCAAGCCUUCCAUCUUUCUGAUCUUGAUAAAGCAGAACUUCCUAAAAUGCUGAAGAAAUACGUAGGAUUUUACCCCUCUUCCACUUGACUGGAAGCGACAAUGAUUUCGAUUUUUUGCCUCUUUUUACAAACCAAAUGCUGCCUUGUCUAGUCUCUGAAUCAAUAAAACAUACUUUACAUUU
RNA transcript from Gopherus flavomarginatus (Mexican gopher tortoise), 1647 nucleotides. It is a transcript of the gene named adenylate kinase 2, with no coding region annotated. The transcript is spliced from 8 exons. The record is from RefSeq and is a predicted model, not a curated record. NCBI's taxonomy places the organism in Eukaryota, Metazoa, Chordata, Testudines, Testudinidae.